This 209-nucleotide long non-coding RNA is filed under the name Hordeum vulgare. RNAcentral describes it as "long non-coding RNA (HVUL_LNC020707)". Lineage: Eukaryota; Viridiplantae; Streptophyta; Magnoliopsida; Poales; Poaceae. The record is from RNAcentral.
CCACUUAUGAGCCUUUAGACAGUCCUAUUUUAUGUGAGAUUACUUCACUGUUGACUGCAAACACCUUUUGGUUCUCUCAGAUACUUUGCUUCAAAUACCUGUCUCGCGAGUUCACGACGUGGGUAAAUUUGACAGUAGUCUUCAGGCAUGGGCUCUCCUCAAUCCGGACCAUCUCACCACUGGCAUCUGUAGCAGUACCAAGUGCAAGU